Molecule: long non-coding RNA, 586 nt
Filed under: Brassica napus (rape)
Lineage: Eukaryota; Viridiplantae; Streptophyta; Magnoliopsida; Brassicales; Brassicaceae
Description: long non-coding RNA (BNAP_LNC016340)
Source: RNAcentral
GACAAUAGAAAUAUGCAAGAUAUCAACUCCCCCAAACUUGUUCUUUUACUUGUCCACAAGUGAACUUUCUAGAAUUCAUAGAGAGAGAGAGGUUUUAAGGUGGGGAGCUCAUAGCGAAAAGAAACACAACUAGCACUCAACUCAACAUCUAAUCCAACCUGAGCACACUCUCUUAUUACACUCUAGCUUCUCUAGGCCUAUCUCAACUCCUUUUUACCCUUAUUCUCAUCAUCAAGCAUCCACACAUUCAAAUCAACCAACUCUCACAUUCAUUAAGCAUAAAACAUUGAGUGAAUUCUUGCAAAUGGUCAAUUGGUUCAAAUCAUUUGGUUGAGUAAGGGAAGGCUUUUAUUCAAGUGGGUCAAAAGGUUCAAAAUCCAUGAUCUUUUAAAGUGGUUUACUCUCAAAAAUCUUUUUUAUAUAUAUAUAUAUAUUUUUUUUUUUUUUGGACCAAGACUUUUCAUAAACUCUAGCUAGACGUUUAUCUAUUUAUUCUAAUAAGAUUAUCCAUUUAAACACAAAGAGUCAAUUCUUUUCCUUCAAACUUUUCAUGCUUCCAAACCAUAGUCACAACACUCACCCCCAC